This is a long non-coding RNA of Ooceraea biroi (clonal raider ant), 7843 nucleotides long. RefSeq lists it as uncharacterized. The record is from RefSeq and is a predicted model, not a curated record. Lineage: Eukaryota; Metazoa; Arthropoda; Insecta; Hymenoptera; Formicidae.
GUUAUCGAGAGCCUCUAUCUAAGAACCUGUCAAUUGCCGCAAAGUAGCAUGCACACGCGAGUGUAUUCGAAUUCCGAUGCGCACGUAUAAAGAGCCAAUCAUUAGAGACGAUUAAAGGGUGGAGGUCCGCUUCGCUUCGUGUCGUUAGAGAUGAGAGGUCGCGGAAAACGCUGCACAGACGAGCCUUCCUGCAUUCUAAAUCGUGAAACAGCUUUAUCCUAUGAACUGUACUGAUCAUCCGCACAGUCUCGUGAAACAUUAUCGAACUUUUUCCCUUUGAAUACAUGAAAAAAUUCAAACUUGCGUGUGAGAGUUUCUGCAAUUCUGAUCCUAACAACCGAUAUCAAAAGAGUACUUUCCAUAAAUAAUAAUAUUUUAAUACAAGAUUUUUCGUAACAAUAGUUUAAGAACGCCAACAACGAGAUUAACGUUAUCAAGAUUUAAUUAUCAAUUUUGAAUAGUCGUUAACUGACGAAAGAUAUUUAUCAGAGCGAAUCAUUAAUUGAAAUCAGUGAAGACACUCAUAAUCCGGGACGAUCGAAUGAAUCGUCCUAACGUAAUCGAAACCUACCGCAAUUCCGCGAGGUACAUUACACCGCCACGUUAAUCGAAGAAUUAAUAUCCCGCGUGGUUUUCUUCCGUCACACGAUACUCCGGCGUCGGAUCCACGGUAAGGUCCAGCCAGUCCAGAGCCGGUCAAUUACUUGGCGCGGUAGCUUGGCUCCAUCGCUUCCGAGGCUACAUUGGAGAAUAUAAACCCAGAGAGAGAGAGAAAGACAGACGUCCGACUCUCGCACGCCGAUCAAAAUGUCGAGCGGUCGGAAAAAAUUCAGGCCGAUUCACGACGGCGACUCGACGUUUCCGCGGAGGAAGCGAUGGAAGAGCUCGCGUAUCAAAUUGAAACGUUACGGAAAACGAUGGCGCAUCGUCGAGGGAGUACCGGCGAGAGUAGCUGUUGCGGAUGAACCGGCUAGAAGAGAGGGUGUUCACCUCUCUUCCUAGCUGGUCCUGUACACAGCAGCGUCUUAACACAGUUAAGCACGACUGGCUUAAGAGAGUUCAAAGUGCCGGGGGAGAAACUCGUCCCCGUUGAUGCAGGAGACCCAUGAUCGAGGGCGUUCCACGUGGCUUAACCCUCUUUCGCUUUCGUAGCGGCUCGCGUGCACGCCUGCAAUUCGUUCGGGCUCCAAGAUUAGGAUUGCGGGAAAGACGAGCAUGCAGGCGCGAGAAGCCGCGAGCUCGGGGCUUCGGCCGAAUGAAUUUUUCGCGAGAUCGCAACGGGGAAUACUUGGUCUUCUGUAUUGUUACGUUACGUUACGCCUGCGGUGUCAGCAUCCGUUCCGCGAAUUCGAAUGUCAGAUAUAAAUUAUGUUGAUCCUGGCAAGCAGAGGUUUCACGUAUGAACAUUAUUCGGUUGUUAACUAAGUAAUCCAGAUUGCGUCUGGAUCACGAUACAACUCAAUGUAGCGAUGUUUCGGAAAAUUUUGUUGUUUUUUCAAAAGUUGCCUAUAUAAUCUCGCUAUAAAAUUAAUAUACGAUAAGUUAUGUUGUGCUAUAUAUAAUAUGGAUUUAUUUUAAUUUAUUGCCAUCUAAACGCGAUCCGGAUUAGUUAAUUAAUGGCCUAAUAAUACUUCGGGGAGAGUUGAUUCGAAUUUCCUUUUUUUCUUCUUAUUCUUUUUUUUCUUUUAUUAUUUUAUUUAUUGAAGAUUCGUUAAUUGCUGGAAUCAUGGAAACCAGUAAGAUUAAGAUCAGAUGUUCCUCCCUGCAAAUGUGUAUUUAAUCGCAGCAAAAUGAAAACGAUAUUUAUGCGAUGGUACGUCGAACAAAUAAUCGACACUGUAAUUGGCCGACUAUAAGCGAGCGAUAAGUACGCUAGUAGUGCAAGUAAUCAUUACGCAGUGAGCGUUACGACAAUAUAAUGCCGUCGUUAGAAAGUAUGGUUGAGGCACGCUCCGAUAAAUCACAAUGAGACGUUACAAAAAUGAGAAGUUGUUAAGUGCGAACUGUCAUUCACCACGGAAAGCUUUUAACGCUAGGAGUAACAAAUGGGAAGUACUAGAAUCUUGCAAAACAGCGUCAAUCUAAACUGAUAUCGUCGAGUUCCGUAGCUCUCAGUCGCAAUUUUCUUCAGUUUGUCAGUAUCUACAAGGUAUCGCCAUCCUUUAAAUUUUCGCGAAAAAAUUUGCCACUUCUUGAUUUACGUUGCAGUUUUUGCAAUUUUUGCACUUUCCUCUUGCGACUACUUUCUCAAAUAUCUGACGAGUAUCAAUGAUUGUUUUAGUAACUUAGAUGAAAGCGAUGGAGCGUCUAUGUUGUGGCGGGAGGAAAUCCGCUGUCGCUCAGUGAAAUCGAAACGCUUCCGGCAGCGUGUUGACAUGGUUUUCACAAAAUUCGUAAAUUCGUGCUUCUCGCACGUCCGCCUUCCGUUAGGAAACGUCGGGCGGGAGCGGGAAUCAAAGUCGUGGGAAACUCCGAGCGCGCAUCGAGCAUGGGAAUAGGAGGUAUCGGUUAUAAUUCUAUAGCAUGGUUCGGUUAAGUACCUUCCGAUUAAAGUCGGCGGCCACGUGAAAGUAUACAGUUAUGGUUGCAGGGGCGUCCACAUUCGUAUACCGGCAAGUUUGCUGCAGCAGCAGAAACUGCCGGAAUACCGAAAAUCGGAUUACUUCAAAAUUCGAAUGGCGUGACGUUUUCCGAAUCGAAAGCUCAAAUACGAGGGAAAAAACGAAGAUACUGUAUGACACGCGGAUUCUGAUUAAAAAUCUCAAGAUCUGAAAGAUAUAUGAAAUCCAUCUAAUAUCUGACUUGUAAAAAAUUAAUUAUUAUCUUAAAUUCAAAGUCGUAUCAGUAUGUCAAAUCGAUUACAGGCUCAACUAUUUCCAUCAUUGUCAUUGUAACUGUUCAAUACUCAUUGUCAUUUCGACAAAAUAUCGCGAGAUUCGAUGCACUUGCGAUUUUCGAGACGUCGCAGAGUGCCACGCUGAAACAUUCCAGCGAGAAAACGGUAGAAUAAUAACGUUCCCGGAACAUUUUGGAUCUCUUUGCGCCAUCCAGCAGCGGCGUGAUUUACGCUCGUGCGAGUAACGGCGGGUCUCCAGUAAGUUCGAAUUACAAUUACCAGCCCGUUUGAAACAAGUUCGAGACAUAGUGAUAGGUUCGCACGCGUAUCAUCAGAGACAUGCAUGCACGAAACAAUAAUCGACUCUAACGCGCCGUCAUCGGUGUCCUUUCGCGGUUUUCGUGCAGCACACAUCGGUUGUUCGCCGUUUGCAAUGUGUAAUAUCUGUCCAACGACCGCGAGUGGUUUUCAUGCGAUCGUGUUCGAUUGCGAGAGUUUCUUCUAGUUUUAUACGUGAAGAUAUUGUCGUAGCUGACGAUUUAACGAUAUAAUGUAUCAGCUGACGAGUUUUACGAGAUACUUGCAAGACGUUUAUUUUAAUUAAUUAAUUAUAUAUAGCUCAUAAAAUAAAUAGUCAGAAAUCAGAAAUUCUUUAAUAUUCUCUACUAAUUUCCAAAUAAACAAUUUCUUCUCUGACGAAUCCUAUAGUUUCCUUCAAAUCCUGAGGCGCGCUGAAGCUUCAAUUCUCGCGCAAAAAUUUCAUGCCGCAGGAUGAAUCCCUUUCUCACUUAAUUUCGACGUUCGGCAUUGUCAGAGGCUACUUUUGAAAUUGGAGAAGGGUAGUUACGGGCGCGUCUCGACAUUUGCGGGGGACUGAGAACCGCUGCUCGCAUGAGUUUCAUUAAUCUGACCGCGCCUGGAGCCUCGUCUUGUAUCGUGUCUACGUGUGCACCGUCUCGCACGUUUCUCUGCGCGUGUAUGCUCUUAGAUGCACGCCACACACACACACAUACGCACACAUCGAGCUAGCAACCCGGUUCAUUACCGUCUCCGGUGUACAAGCGCACGUAUGCAAGAGACCUGUGUGUGCACGUGGACCGGCUCUACGUGCGCACGAAUAAAAACAUGAGAGUGCAGGUAGAAGUGCGCUCGAAUAAAAAGACCAAGGUGUACCGGGUGAUCAGAAAGUAAUAGCCGUGAUUUGUCCGCCGCCAGAAUGGGCCUGGUGGAUACGUGAGCUCGCGCGCGGCGCGGCACCGAGGAUAAUCGCUGGACCGCUCUGUCAGCUCGCGGGAUGCUGAUUGCGGCGCGAUUUCAAUCCGGCAUCGGUAUCCGUCUCUUUUCCUUGUUGCUGCUCGUUUUGCGGCGAUAAGGGCGGGCCGAUUAGAAGCACCUCACGCACGCACGCACGAGUCAUGCGUUAUCGUGAAGUUUUCGUGCUCGGCGGAAUGGCGGAUAAAUCAAGGAAUUGAUAAUUAUCAACUUUCCGGUCGGCCAAGUUCUCCGAGCGGCCCGAACCGGUUUUGGCAUACAUUCAUGAGAACAAUCGUAAAUCAAUUUGAGAGAUUGAACUUUUGACAAACGCCUCUGGGUGGCCGGCGGGCUUAGGUCAACAUUGAAUCACGCGCGAAAUAAUGACAAUUUGUAAAUGACCGGCCGGCUAACGGCCGCGGCGGUGAAUAUUUUAUUCUCCGGCGAUGUGCGAUACGCGAGUCCUCCCCCUCUCCACCUCCUCCCCCGCGACAUCGCUUUAUCGCGUAAUUAUCGUCUGAAUUUAACAGCCAGGAAACGAUAAAUCAAAUCAUUUUUUGUGACUGCUGUUGCAGUUUUCCGAGAAUCCGCGGUCUCGUGGACGGACGGGUAAAACUAUCCUGAGGAAAUGAACGUGGCUUCUAUAUGCUGAAGCUCAAAGCGCAGUGGAAGUAAUAAUUGUCAAUAUCAUUAUAAUUAUAUAUAAACUUCGUGUAUGAAACUGAAGGGAACAUUAAUCGGAUUUAUUUUCCUACAACUUUUGAUUCUUCUUUAAAUCUCGCUUUUCGAAUCAACGCAGUCAGAUUCACGUGCGAGAUUGUGUGUCACGAGAGUCACGCAACUGAAUUAAAUUCACGAGACAACAAUGUAAAAAUGUAAUCUGUAGAACUCGGCUGACGUGAAGAUUAAACACAUCCUGAAUUCUGAAACGUUUCGUUCUACGAUCCGUUCUCAUAUCCUGGGAAUUUCUCCGAUCAGAAAUUCCGAUGCUCCUGACCGCGAUUGUUGCUUUCCUCUUAUCGCCGGAAUGCUCUUCCAGAUGAAAGGAGCGAGAAAGACGGAACGAGGAGAGAGAGAAAAAGAGAGAAAGAGAGAGAGAGAGAGAGAGAGGGAAUUGCAUUACGAAGAUACACCCACAAGUUCAAACACCCGGCACUGCACGAUUGUAGCGGCGGUGUCUUUUAUGUAUGAGAUGCCAAAGUGGAAAAAUGAGAAAAACCAAUGCGAGAUUAAUCAACGACAUCCUUAAUACUCGCCGCAGGCGAUGAUGGAAGUUUUCAGAACUGCCGUAAGGCCGCUGGCCGUACGGUUUCACGCGAUGUGUGCUCUAUCAAAGAGAUCUUGUAAUCUCGUGUGCACCGUCGAGCGAAUAAAUUCACCAACGAACCGAGGCACGGGGUCAUUUAACUUCGCUAAUUAAAAAUUAUUAGUCGAGAAUCCCGUUUAUCGAAAUAAAUCAUCAUUAUUUUCAUUCCGUUCCUUCAUAGACAGAGAUAAAUCUCAGCAUUCAUUACAAACAAAGCAAAAACUAUUGCUUCGUAAAAUUGUUACGAUACAACAAUAUCUUGAAUGAUUCUUCCAAUGUCUAAAGAUAGAAUCCAAUUAUAAUAUUUUAUCAUAAUAUUUAAUAUUAAAAACCGUAAAACAUUCGAAAUUUAUCAUGAUUUAUGUAAAAUGACAAUGACAAACGCGGAAAAUGUUUAGUGUUAUCGAUGCAAGAAUAUCAAGAUAUUCUUUGAAAAAAUCAAGCAUUAUAUAAAUUUUACAGAACAAUAACUUUCUUAAGAAGUUUAAGUUCUUAAAAUAAGUUUAAAAACACAGAAAAUAUCGCAAUAAUAAAUUACUCGAGAAGAAACCUAUUUCUUAAAACGAGAUGAUAACACUUUUCUCGAAAUCCGUCAAUAAAGUCGAGGCAGACACGAUAUUGAGCAUUCAUCUUUACAACAUACUCGUGCCAUCACAGCGGAGCGGAGAAUUAACAGCAAAUCUCAAACGGCAAAAUAAUUACAGCACGCAGAUAUGAGAAAAAAGCCUAAUCGCGGAAGUGCAUCGUGGGCAUCGUACGAUCGAUCCGAUCGGCGCUAAUUAACUGUCAAAUUAACACGAGUUAUCUUUCCCUCGAGGGGACCACGAGAAUAAGAGCCUAAUCCCGACCACACGCUAUCGCGCAUUCUAGCUGUCUAAAUUUAUCGAUGUGAAAUUACACAUUAGUAAAAAAACAUCAGUAAAAAAUCAGUAACUAUUUUUCUAGAAUGUUGAUACAAGUAAAUUUCCAGAAUAAAUUUCUUUUCCUUAAAGAAAACCAAAAUUCUUGACAUCUUUCACAAGAAACUCUUGAUUGUAAAGAAUAAAGUCUGGAAAUGUAGAACAUGCGGCAUCCUAUCGUUGCGUCUGCGUCGCGUAGCAUGCAUUUUACGACACAUUUAUCUCUGCAUUAUCCCCGUGUAAAUGACGUGCAAAAACGAAAUAGCGAACAUUAGUCUCUUAGAGACGCUUAAGAGGAAAUUGCGCCAUGUAGAGUAGCGCUUAUGACGUGCAGAAAAGAACGGUUACCUUGAUACCAGUAUGAAUGAUAAAUACCGUAAAAGUAGCAACUGCAAUACCAUUUUUUGUGCAACAUCUGAUCAACGAUCGGGUAUUACUCGUGUCAUUCAGCUGUGACACGUUCGCGUUGAUGUAAAGCGAAUUUACGCAACGACGUACGCUUAAUUCGCUGCGUGUGCGCAAGUGCGUGCGGCAAAGUCGCGCAAUCAAUCAAUAUUAAAUUUUUGCGUUCACGCUAUCAAAAAUCAUGAGAGAAAUCCUUAUUGCAAGACAGCUCCAGUUUUACAAUAAAUGCAAAGCACUUCAGUUGUUAAGAAGUUAUCUCAGAGAAAAGACUUCUGUAAGCAGAAAAUUUAUUGUAAAUGUGGUAUUUCUUGUUAUCAAUAUACCGAACAAUUUUUCUCAUUUCUUACAUUCGGAUCAUACCACACGGAAACACGGCAAUUAUUUUUAUUAUAAAAAAAAAACAGGAAAGGAAUUUUUUCGUAAAUGCUAUUCAUGAUUGCGAGAGAUAACUAUCUGAGAGAAAUAAAAUAAUAGGAUGUCUGUAGAAAAAAGUAAAAAGACGAUUGCGCAAUCGCAAAAUUCCGCAUCUCAACGUAAGAUUAGUCCGCGCCAUCCCACUGCUGAUUCUAAUGACGGGCACUUUUUUUCAAAUCACUCGUCUGGCGAAGAGUGCUCAUUAUUUUGCAAUUCCUCGGUCCUUAAGCACCGACAUGCACUCAAGUCAUACGUAAUUAUUGGCACGAUACUAUUCGCGUUGGAUUUACACGAGUGUCGGAUGCAUUUGCUCGUAAGGCAAAAAGCACAUACUCGCAAACGCAUCGUCAGCAAGAAAGACACGACUCGCACCUCACACUUAACACCCAUGUGAAUUUGACACCCCAUUUUUAAGAAAUUAACUUUUGAAUACGCUUAAAUGUGAUGGGCAACGCAACAAGUUUCCGACGAAGACUACCGGAUCGAUCGUCAUUCCCAUGAGUGCACUCUGCGCUGUUGAAACAGCGUGGCCAGAAAACCGAUGCAAUCGUCGACCAAAUCGCAAGUGUAAUCGACUGCCACGGAAAUUUUUAGUUGCGUAAUGUUGCUCUCGCGCAAAAUUAAAUUGCACAAAUGACUUAUAUGCUUAAUGAAUACUUAAUGAAUACGAUUCUACGGGACUGUCGAUCGGUGAUCGGGAUCUGCAUGUACAUACACGUGCACGCACACCAC